RNAcentral lists this small nuclear RNA (64 nucleotides) under Aotus nancymaae (Ma's night monkey). Its description in RNAcentral is "U7 small nuclear RNA (ENSANAG00000006169.1)". It matches the Rfam family "U7 small nuclear RNA". From Rfam's summary of the family: Animal histone pre-mRNAs are spliced by a different mechanism than nuclear pre-mRNAs and self-splicing introns. The record is from Rfam by way of RNAcentral. Lineage: Eukaryota; Metazoa; Chordata; Mammalia; Primates; Aotidae.
CAGUGUUACACUGUUUUAGAAUUUGUCUAGCAGGUGGUUUUCUGGUUUUUACCAGACGUCCCCA